GACGAACGCUGGCGGCGUGCUUAACACAUGCAAGUCGAACGGAAAGGCCCUGCUUUUGUGGGGUGCUCGAGUGGCGAACGGGUGAGUAACACGUGAGUAACCUGCCCUUGACUUUGGGAUAACUUCAGGAAACUGGGGCUAAUACCGGAUAGGAGCUCCUGCUGCAUGGUGGGGGUUGGAAAGUUUCGGCGGUUGGGGAUGGACUCGCGACUUAUCAGCUUGUUGGUGGGGUAGUGGCUUACCAAGGCUUUGACGGGUAGCCUGCCUGAGAGGGUGACCGGCGACAUUGGGACUGAGAUGAGGCCCAGACUCCUACGGGAGGCAGCAGUGGGGAAUAUUGAACAAUGGGCAGAACCAAGAGGCAGCAACGCCGCGUGGGGGAUGACGGCCUUCGGGUUGUAAACCGCUGUCGCAUGUGACGAAGCGUGAGUGACGGUAAUGGGUAAAGAAGCACCGGCUAACUACGUG
RNAcentral lists this ribosomal RNA (468 nucleotides) under uncultured bacterium. RNAcentral's name for it is "partial 16S ribosomal RNA". It matches the Rfam family "Bacterial small subunit ribosomal RNA", at positions 28 to 507 of the family's 1533-position model. The record is from RNAcentral.